CAAUGAAAUAAGAGCUGAAUAUGAUUUUAAUUUAAAAAUAUUUUGAAAUAGCAAAAUGAUUCACUCCAUUAAUAUAUUUAUUUUGUGAAUUGUUAAGAAUAUUUAUUUCUUAAUAGUAGUUAUCAUUUUAAACAAACUUCUAACCACAUUCGUCUUAAUAUACUCCCUACGUCAAUAAAAAAUAAUUUUAUUUUAUUAUUUUGAAAAUAUUAUAUGAAAAAAACACAACAGGUGAAAUAAAGAUGUCAUUUAUUUAUAAAGAAAUAUUUGUUUAGUUCUGCUCAAAUCUAUACCAGCAUUUGGCAGCUUGGCUUCUCAUAAAGUUGAUAGAUAAUCUUGUUUCCACCUCUGCCAAAGCCUCUACCGCCUCUACCUCCCCUUUGAUUUCUAGAUCCACCUCUCCCUCCAUCUAAAUCAAACUUGCUGUUGUAAGGCUGCUACUCUUUCAUUUGCCCAAACUGUUGUUGCACCAAGUGGAGUGAAGGAUCAUAGUCCUAACUCAAACCUCCAAGGAUGUGCAGAAUCUGCUCUCCAUCAGAUACCCUACAACCAACUGAGCUAAGAAGAUCAAAUUGAGCGACUAGCAAAGUUAGUCUCAAGCACUUCCCAUAUGUCCUUCGCAGACUUUAGACCAACCACGAGAGAAAGAGCUCCCUCAGACAAUGAAGAGAGCAGCCAUCCUGCAAGCCUCCUAUCCUGCCUCUGCCAAGCUAUGAAGGCUGGAUUCAUCACGAAAGAUCCUGCAACUGGAUCUGCAAUCAUUUGUGGAGGUGGGCUGGCUUCUCCGAUGAGAAAUGACUCAAGCCCAUAUCCAUACACUGCAACAUCCACUUGUUGUUGUUAAAUCAAGAAAUUUUCAUCAGUUAGUUUCACUGAGAUAGGAGGUAGUUGAGAGAAGUGAGGCAAAGCUGCCAAAGGAAUGGUUGUGGCAUUUGAAUCGUUUGAUUCUACCAUUUUGCGAAAGCUACAGUUAGAACCAAGAGGGUAGAAGAGACAGAAUCACUAAGAUCCUGCUCUGAUACCAUGAAAACAAAUGAGGAAAGACAUGAAGAAGAAAGUUCAACUGGAAUAUUUGAUAAACUUGACAAAAUGAUUGAUUCACUAUUUCAUUGAUUUCAUUGUGCCACAUACAUUCCAAACUUAUAGCUAG
Molecule: non-coding RNA, 1150 nt
Organism: Salvia hispanica
Lineage: Eukaryota; Viridiplantae; Streptophyta; Magnoliopsida; Lamiales; Lamiaceae
Source: RefSeq, a predicted model, not a curated record